GAGGAAUGCAGCCAUUGGCAGACUGUGAUGAGGCAGGGAGGAAGUGGGAAUGGGCUGGGGGAGACAAAUGCUCUGACGAUACCCUCCUGGAGCCUUCUCAUCUUCUGCUGGCCCUGCAUCGAUUGGACACAAUCAAAGCCAGAGAUUAAGGUCAGCCUUCCAGACACAGAACACAGCAGAGAAGGGCAGAGAAUGGAUCUGGGUUCGGGGAGUACAGUGUCCAGCGCAUAGUAGGUGCUCAAUAAAUGCUUGCUAAAGUGCAUUGAGCUGACUUGGGAAUGGCUCACACAAAGACAAAAGGCAUGUUCUACCAUGGCACUUAGCUGCAAGGUGGGGAGCUGCAUAUGUACAUCCUGAGCUGCUUUGCCACUGCUGUGAAAGCAGAGAAGGGUUGAGUCCCUGGAAAAGGAAUUUGGGUAAGUGCAUGGGAGGAUGGGAGGAAGCAGAGAGAUGCCCGUGAGUGAGAAUGAAAUGUUCCAGGGGAUGCCUGGCAUGUGACGAUGCUACAGAUUGAAUGCAGAAGCAGGCACGAGAACCCAAGUCUUCUUCGAAGCUAGUCAUCAAAGAAGUCUGCAAGAAUGGAAAACAGUGCCACUCUUCUCACUAUUUUUUUUGGAAAAUAGUUAUUUUAUGUAAAAAUAGAUAUUUAUGUUAAUAUGCAAUGAGUUUAUUAGUUACUUUAAAGAUGAAUUAGUGUGUACACUUGUAGAGAUUUCUCAAUUUUAAUUUCUGAUAUGGCAAGUAUUGACAGAUGUUACCUACAUAAACAAGAGCUCUUUGGGGUCCUCACUCAUUUUUAAGACCGUGAAGUCAUCCCGGGAUUAAACGUUUGAGAAUCACUCACUGCCUUAGGGUAAUGUUAAGUCCCUGGCAAUGAACGGGGGAAGGGAAUUUACCUUUUUUCUGCUUGCAUCUUCGUUUUAAUACUGAAGUUAUAUUGAAUGAAUGAUAGUACUUCUCAUCCUGUGGAGAUAGCCCCAUGGAGACAGGAGAAUGUGCAGCGAAUAGUGGAAAGAUCAUGCAUGAAAUUUAGUCAGACAGUCCUGUCUUUAACUUAAAGUUCCUCUGGGCAAGUGAUUGUGAUCAAAUUACUUGCUAUUUCUGAACUGCAAUUUCUCAUUGGUAAAAUGUAGAUGGUAACAGCUACCCAACUCACUGAAAUUUUGUGGAGAUUAAAUGAUGUGUUUGCGAAACCAUCAAACCUGUUGCCAGGUACGUAACAGGUGCUCCAUAAAUAUUAGCCUCCCUUCCUCCCUCUCAGGGUGCUCCAAGCGCAGUCCUUUUAGAGUCACCAAUAGGAAUUCUUGUCUGAAGUGGUUCACAAACAUAGUUCAACCUGGUCUCUGGCC
RNAcentral lists this long non-coding RNA (1349 nucleotides) under Homo sapiens (human). Its description in RNAcentral is "HSALNT0242551". The record is from RNAcentral. Lineage: Eukaryota; Metazoa; Chordata; Mammalia; Primates; Hominidae.